GAUGAAGAACGCAGCGAAAUGCGAUAAGUAAUGUGAAUUGCAGAAUUCAGUGAAUCAUCGAAUCUUUGAACGCACAUUGCGCCCGGUAGUAAUCUGCCGGGCAUGCCUGUCCGAGCGUCAUUUCACCCCUCGAACCACUAUUCGCGUAGCUGGAUCGGUGUUGGGGCACUACGGUGGAAUACCCGUAGGCCCCGAAAUGAAGUGGCGGUCCCGCCGCGGCGCCCCCAUGCGUAGUAACUUUCAGUCUCGCAUCGGGUCCCGGCGGAGGCCUGCCGUCAAGCCUAUUUUAUAAUCUUUUACAGAUGGUUUGACCUCGGAUCAGGUAGGGUUACCCGCUGAACUUAAGCAUAUCAAUAAGCGGAGGA
This 365-nucleotide unclassified non-coding RNA is filed under the name soil metagenome. Its description in RNAcentral is "partial contains 5.8S ribosomal RNA, internal transcribed spacer 2, and large subunit ribosomal RNA". The stretch from base 1 to 120 matches the Rfam family "5.8S ribosomal RNA", at positions 35 to 154 of the family's 154-position model. The record is from RNAcentral.